RNAcentral lists this ribosomal RNA (253 nucleotides) under uncultured bacterium. Its description in RNAcentral is "partial 16S ribosomal RNA". It matches the Rfam family "Bacterial small subunit ribosomal RNA", at positions 524 to 776 of the family's 1533-position model. The record is from RNAcentral.
UACGUAGGGUGCGAGCGUUAAUCGGAAUUACUGGGCGUAAAGCGUGCGCAGGCGGUUUUGUAAGCCAGAUGUGAAAUCCCCGGGCUUAACCUGGGAAUGGCAUUUGGGACUGCAUGGCUGGAGUGCGGCAGAGGGGGAUGGAAUUCCGCGUGUAGCAGUGAAAUGCGUAGAUAUGCGGAGGAACACCGAUGGCGAAGGCAAUCCCCUGGGCCUGCACUGACGCUCAUGCACGAAAGCGUGGGGAGCGAACAGG